Molecule: ribosomal RNA, 99 nt
Filed under: Microcebus murinus (gray mouse lemur)
Lineage: Eukaryota; Metazoa; Chordata; Mammalia; Primates; Cheirogaleidae
Source: RNAcentral
AUCUGUGGUUAUACCACUCUGAAUGCACCUGAUCUCAUCUGAUUUUGGAAGCUAAGCAUGGUCAGGUCUGUUUAGUGCUUGGAUAGGAGACUGUAGUUA